UCUCUCUCUCUCUCUCUCUAUAUAUAUAUCUAUGAGGGACCCCUAGUCAGUCAUCAGUCCUCUCUCUCUCUAUAUAUAUAUAUAUAUGUCUAUGUGGGACCCCUAGUCAGUCAUCAGUCAUCUCUCUCUCUCUAUAUAUAUAUAUAUCUAUGUAGGACUCCUAGUCAGUCCCCUCUCUCUCUCUCUCUCUCUCUAUAUAUAUAUAUAUAUCUAUGUAGGACUCCUAGUCAGUCCCCUCUCUCUCUCUCUAUAUAUAUAUAUAUCUAUGUAGGACUCCUAGUCAGUCCCCUCUCUAUAUACAGUAUAUCUCUAUGUAGGACCCCUAGUCAGUCCCCUCUCUAUAUACAGUAUGUCUCUAUGUAGGACCCCUAGUCAGUCCCCUCUCUAUAUACAGUAUGUCUCUAUGUAGGACCCCUAGUCAGUCCCCUCUCUAUAUACAGUAUAUCUCUAUGUAGGACUCCUAGUCAGUCCCCUCUCUAUAUACAGUAUAUCUCUAUGUAGGACCCCUAGUCAGUCCCCUCUCUAUAUACAGUAUAUCUCUAUGUAGGACCCCUAGUCAGUCCCCUCUCUAUAUACAGUAUAUCUCUAUGUAGGACCCCUAGUCAGUCCCCUCUCUAUAUACAGUAUAUCUCUAUGUAGGACUCCUAGUCAGUCCCCUCUCUAUAUACAGUAUGUCUCUAUGUAGGACUCCUAGUCAGUCCCCUCUCUAUAUACAGUAUAUCUCUAUGUAGGACCCCUAGUCAGUCCCCUCUAUAUAUACAGUAUGUCUCUAUGUAGGACUCCUAGUCAGUCCCCUCUCUAUAUACAGUAUAUCUCUAUGUAGGACUCCUAGUCAGUCCCCUCUCUAUAUACAGUAUAUCUCUAUGUAGGACCCCUAGUCAGUCCCCUCUCUAUAUACAGUAUAUCUCUAUGUAGGACUCCUAGUCAGUCCCCUCUCUAUAUACAGUAUGUCUCUAUGUAGGACCCCUAGUCAGUCCCCUCUCUAUAUACAGUAUAUCUCUAUGUAGGACUCCUAGUCAGUCCCCUCUCUAUAUACAGUAUGUCUCUAUGUAGGACUCCUAGUAUGUAGGACCCCUAGUCAGUCCCCUCUCUAUAUACAGACUCCUAGUAUGUAGGACCCCUAGUCAGUCCCCUCUCUAUAUACAGUAUGUCUCUAUGUAGGACUCCUAGUAUGUAGGACUCCUAGUCAGUCCCCUCUCUAUAUACAGUAUGUCUCUAUGUAGGACUCCUAGUAUGUAGGACCCCUAGUCAGU
RNAcentral lists this long non-coding RNA (1253 nucleotides) under Salmo salar (Atlantic salmon). Its description in RNAcentral is "lncRNA (ENSSSAG00000100070.1, ENSSSAG00000113322.1)". The record is from RNAcentral. Lineage: Eukaryota; Metazoa; Chordata; Actinopteri; Salmoniformes; Salmonidae.